CAAAGUCAUGGUUAAGUGGGAAACGAUGUGGGAAGGCACAGACAGCCAGGAUGUUGGCUUAGAAGCAGCCAUCAUUUAAAGAAAGCGUAAUAGCUCACUGGUCGAGUCGGCCUGCGCGGAAGAUGUAACGGGGCUAAACCAUGCACCGAAGCUGCGGCAGCGACACUAAGUGUUGUUGGGUAGGGGAGCGUUCUGUAAGCCUGCGAAGGUGGCCUGUGAGGGCUGCUGGAGGUAUCAGAAGUGCGAAUGCUGACAUAAGUAACGAUAAAGCGGGUGAAAAGCCCGCUCGCCGGAAGACCAAGGGUUCCUGUCCAACGUUAAUCGGGGCAGGGUGAGUCGACCCCUAAGGCGAGGCCGAAAGGCGUAGUCGAUGGGAAACAGGUUAAUAUUCCUGUACUUGGUGUUACUGCGAAGGGGGGACGGAGAAGGCUAUGUUAGCCGGGCGACGGUUGUCCCGGUUUAAGCAUGUAGGCGGAGGUUCCAGGUAAAUCCGGUACCUUUUAACGCUGAGGUGUGAUGACGAGGCACUACGGUGCUGAAGUAACAAAUGCCCUGCUUCCAGGAAAAGCCUCUAAGCAUCAGGUAACAUCAAAUCGUACCCCAAACCGACACAGGUGGUCAGGUAGAGAAUACCAAGGCGCUUGAGAGAACUCGGGUGAAGGAACUAGGCAAAAUGGUGCCGUAACUUCGGGAGAAGGCACGCUGGUGUGUAGGUGAAGUCCCUGCGGACGGAGCUGAGACCAGUCGAAGAUACCAGCUGGCUGCAACUGUUUAUUAAAAACACAGCACUGUGCAAACACGAAAGUGGACGUAUACGGUGUGACGCCUGCCCGGUGCCGGAAGGUUAAUUGAUGGGGUUAUCCGUAAGGAGAAGCUCUUGAUCGAAGCCCCGGUAAACGGCGGCCGUAACUAUAACGGUCCUAAGGUAGCGAAAUUCCUUGUCGGGUAAGUUCCGACCUGCACGAAUGGCGUAAUGAUGGCCAGGCUGUCUCCACCAGAGACUCAGUGAAAUUGAACUCGCUGUGAAGAUGCAGUGUACCCGCGGCAAGACGGAAAGACCCCGUGAACCUUUACUAUAGCUUGACACUGAACAUUGAGCCUUGAUGUGUAGGAUAGGUGGGAGGCUUUGAAGCGUGGACGCCAGUCUGCGUGGAGCCAACCUUGAAAUACCACCCUUUAAUGUUUGAUGUUCUAACGUAGGCCCCUAAUCGGGGUUGCGGACAGUGUCUGGUGGGUAGUUUGACUGGGGCGGUCUCCUCCCAAAGAGUAACGGAGGAGCACGAAGGUUAGCUAAUCCUGGUCGGACAUCAGGAGGUUAGUGCAAUGGCAUAAGCUAGCUUGACUGCGAGCGUGACGGCGCGAGCAGGUGCGAAAGCAGGUCAUAGUGAUCCGGUGGUUCUGAAUGGAAGGGCCAUCGCUCAACGGAUAAAAGGUACUCCGGGGAUAACAGGCUGAUACCGCCCAAGAGUUCAUAUCGACGGCGGUGUUUGGCACCUCGAUGUCGGCUCAUCACAUCCUGGGGCUGAAGUAGGUCCCAAGGGUAUGGCUGUUCGCCAUUUAAAGUGGUACGCGAGCUGGGUUUAGAACGUCGUGAGACAGUUCGGUCCCUAUCUGCCGUGGGCGCUGGAGAAUUGAGGGGGGCUGCUCCUAGUACGAGAGG
RNAcentral lists this ribosomal RNA (1660 nucleotides) under Klebsiella variicola. RNAcentral's name for it is "bacterial LSU rRNA". It matches the Rfam family "Bacterial large subunit ribosomal RNA", at positions 1048 to 2690 of the family's 2925-position model. Lineage: Bacteria; Pseudomonadati; Pseudomonadota; Gammaproteobacteria; Enterobacterales; Enterobacteriaceae. The record is from RNAcentral.